RNAcentral lists this ribosomal RNA (548 nucleotides) under Uvidicolus sphyrurus. RNAcentral's name for it is "partial 16S ribosomal RNA". It matches the Rfam family "Bacterial large subunit ribosomal RNA", at positions 1809 to 2594 of the family's 2925-position model. Lineage: Eukaryota; Metazoa; Chordata; Lepidosauria; Squamata; Carphodactylidae. The record is from RNAcentral.
AAAAACAUAGCCUUUAGCCAAACAAGUAUUAAAGGUGCCGCCUGCCCAGUGAUCUUCUUAAACGGCCGCGGUAUCCUAACCGUGCAAAGGUAGCGUAAUCAUUUGUCUCUUAAAUAGAGACUUGUAUGAACGGCUAACUGAGGGCCCAACUGUCUCCUUAGACCAAUCAAUGAAACUGAUCUUUCAGUACAAAAGCUGAAAUACACCCAUAAGACGAGAAGACCCUGUGGAGCUUUAAAAUGAAGCCAUCUAUUUCCAUCCAAACGAACACAACAAACCCAUAAAACAUGGCAAAAUUUUUCAGUUGGGGCGACUUUGGAGCAAAACAGAACCUCCAAGCCAGGGACCUCCCCUAUAAAGGCCCACCCGCCAAAAUAAUACUAUUUUGACCCAGUCCACCUGAACAACGAACCAAGUUACCCCAGGGAUAACAGCGCCAUCCUCUUUAAGAGUCCAUAUCGACAAGAGGGUUUACGACCUCAAUGUUGGAUCAGGACAUCCUCAAGGUGCAGCAGCUACUAAGGGUUCGUUUGUUCAACGAUUAAAGU